Molecule: ribosomal RNA, 497 nt
Filed under: uncultured bacterium
Lineage: Bacteria
Description: partial 16S ribosomal RNA
Rfam family: Bacterial small subunit ribosomal RNA
Source: RNAcentral
GAUGAACGCUGGCGGCGUGCCUAAUACAUGCAAGUCGAGCGAACGGACGAGAAGCUUGCUUCACUGGUGUUAGCGGAGGACGGGUGAGUAACACGUGGAUAACCUACCUAUAAGACUGGGAUAACUUCGGGAAACCGGAGCUAAUACCGGAUAAUAUUUUGAACCGCAUGGUUCAAAAGUGAAAGACGGUCUUGCUGUCACUUAUAGAUGGAUCCGCGCUGCAUUAGCUAUUUGGUAAGGUAACGGCUUACCAAGGCAACGAUGCAUAGCCGACCUGAGAGGGUGAUCGGCCACACUGGAACUGAGACACGGUCCAGACUCCUACGGGAGGCAGCAGUAGGGAAUCUUCCGCAAUGGGCGAAAGCCUGACGGAGCAACGCCGCGUGAGUGAUGAAGGUCUUCGGAUCGUAAAACUCUGUUAUUAGGGAAGAACAUAUGUGUAAGUAACUGUGCACAUCUUGACGGUACCUAAUCAGAAAGCCACGGCUAACUACGUG